Molecule: long non-coding RNA, 1679 nt
Organism: Suricata suricatta (meerkat)
Lineage: Eukaryota; Metazoa; Chordata; Mammalia; Carnivora; Herpestidae
Source: Ensembl
UACCUCCUGUUAGACCUGUGCCUAGCUAACCACAUGUGUUUGGCCGUCUGCCGUCUCUUCAUGUUGGCCUCUGUGCACUAUUAUUAUUUUAUUUGGACUUCAGUGACAAGAAUAUGGCAUUUAUGAUCAUGUUCUUUUGUGCCUUCGUGGCCUUGUUGCUUUUUUCACAUUAGUGUUACAUGUUAAAUGAUCUCACCCCUACUGUUUAUACGUUAAGCACACAUGCUUCAAGUGUGUGCUGCCUUUGUCUACAUUGCCUGGACCGUUCUUGGCUCUGGCCUUUCUCAGCUGUCUUUAACAUGGACAAUCACAAGUCAUCCUCCACGAGGACUAGUGCAUUCUUAAGCUAUGCUGCUUCAGGGCCAGUGACUUGCUGAGCUUUGUGUUCAUGCUGGCCAUGUGUGCCACCUGUGGCGAGUUCUGUUGCCACUGCAGAAUGAAGCUAGCCUACCUGGUAUUGGCCAUCAGCCCAAACUGAUUGUUUCAAGGCCCUGGGGCCACCAGCCAAGGUUCCACCAUCUAUUGGAUCUCUGGCUUUGGCCAGGGGCAUAUGCUGCCCUACUGGAUAUGUGGAAAAGCACUUGACUGCUGGGCAUGGAUGAGGUUAAGGGUGAGAAGCAUAAUGCCAUGAGUUCUAUACCACUAUGGGUCUCUUCCUGCCUCUGGGCCCUUCUGAUGAACCUUCAUCAAGGUCUCACUUGUGCCCCAUCACUGUCAGGCCACUGAGAUUGCUUUUGGCCCCAGUUGGCUUCCCGGUCAAUGAGGACCUCAAGAACUGCCUGUGGACCAAGGCCCCCUGCCAGUGCAUGAGACACACACCUACUUUCCCCAAUCUUCCAGGAACCCUCCUGCCUGCCAGACUGAUGGGCGGGUAUGUGGACAUGUGCUCACUGUCAUCAUGCUGUGGCUCCAGGUGUGGCCUUGCAUAUGUGGAAGAUUGAUGCUAUAUGCUGCUUAUUUUGCCAUAAACAUGCACAGAAGUGGAGAGGAUGGUCCCUGGACCCUGGGUACCCAUCACCUAGCUACACCAAUUAUGAUCAACCUGGUGCCUUCCUCUCCCCACCUGUAUUGUUGAUGGAAAGUCCGACACUGUACCAAUUCAACCUUGACUACUUUGGGAGAUCAGGACUCUUGUGGUGGUGGUGGUGGUGGGGCACACUGUCAUGAUCACAUCAGGUCUGCUCUUUGUUUUGAGUGUUAAAUGAUGAUGUUCUAGAAAUGGCCUUUAGAAGUGAAAGUCUUCACGAUUAACAGGGAGUACUCAAAAAGAGAUGAAAAUAUGCUCCCUCUUCCCUGCAUCUGCAAAAGGAGAGAGACUUGUGUUGUAAAUCUUUCAAAGACUGAUAUGAUAAGGUGCUUACUUGAGACCCUUCACCAGAAUAUCAGUCUUUUUUGCCUGUAAAAGAUGGAGACUUGUGUGACUGUUAGAAGUACCAUCAGCGUGUCCUGGUCUCAUAAUAUAACUCUGGUCUUGAAAGUGAAUUUUGGAAAUUGUUGCUGUGUUCUGUAAAAAUAACCUCCCCAACGUUAUCAGUAACUGGUUGUCUUACUUGCUAAUUUGACACCCCGGUAAUAAUGCAAUUAUUCCUUUGUUCCUAAACAGUAUAAAUAGUUGUAAGUUUGCAUGCGUGGUGGAAAAAUAAAAGUCUUAUCUCUGUUAUAUAUUUUUUAUUUUUAAA